This is a non-coding RNA of Ciona savignyi (Pacific transparent sea squirt), 46 nucleotides long. The record is from Rfam. NCBI's taxonomy places the organism in Eukaryota, Metazoa, Chordata, Ascidiacea, Phlebobranchia, Cionidae.
UAAACUGCCCUUUUCAGGGCAACCCAUUAAAAAUAAAAUUUAGUGU